CAAUAGCGUAUAUUUAAGUUGCUGCAGUUAAAAAGCUCGUAGUUGGAUUUCGGGUGGGAAUGGCCGGUCCGCCGUUUCGGUGUGCACUUGCUACGCCCACCUUGCUGCCGGGGACGUGCUCUUGAGUUCACGCUCGGGACACGGAGUCGGCGAGGUUUCUUUGAGUAAAUUAGAGUGUUCAAAGCAGGCCUACGCUCUGAAUACAUUAGCAUGGAAUAACACGAUAGGACUCUGGCCUAUCUUGUUGGUCUGUAGGACCGGAGUAAUGAUUAAGAGGGACAGUCGGGGGCAUUCGUAUUUCAUUGUCAGAGGUGAAAUUCUUGGAUUUAUGAAAGACGAACUACUGCGAAAGCAUUUGCCAAGGAUGUUUUCAUUAA
Molecule: ribosomal RNA, 377 nt
Filed under: uncultured eukaryote
Lineage: Eukaryota
Description: partial 18S ribosomal RNA
Rfam family: Eukaryotic small subunit ribosomal RNA
Source: RNAcentral